ACCAUCUGCAGUGAUUUUGGAGCCCAAGGAAAUAAAGUCUGUCUCUGUUUGCGUUGUUUCCCCAUCCAUCUAUCUGCCAUGCAAUGAUGGGACCAGAUGCCAUGAUCUUAGUUUUCUUGAAUGUUGAAUUUUAAGCCAACUUUUUCACUCUCCUCUUUCCCCUUAAUCAAGAGGUUCUUUAGUUCUUCUUCACUCUCUGCCAUGAGGUGUCAUCUGCAUAUCUGAGGUUAUUGAUAUUUCUACCCUCACAGUCCAGAAAAACAGGUUUAGAGGCCCAGCCGCACAUUCCUGCCACGCAAGUCAUAUGUUUCUGCCUCAGCAAUUGCAGAAAGGGGAUUUUCCCCUCUCUCUGCCUUCAAUCAUGUCCCUAAGCCCCUGAGUUCCUUGCUGAAUUAAAGGCAUUUAUCUUGCCUUUUACCCACAGACAGCUGAGAAUCAAAACGAGGAAUCCUAAAGGCAAGAAUGUCUUUAACACAAUUAAAACAUCUAUUUUUCUUGGCCAAAAUGAGAAGAUUUCUGCCCUUUGCUUCAAAAUAAUCCAGCUGGGGAGAGGUAGGUGAUAUGGUGGGAAGUGGGCAGAAAAGACACUAAACCAGGUUGGCCAUGAGUCAGGGAAGUGUUGAAGGUGAGUACUGGGGACGUGAGAGCUCUUCAGAGAAUUCUACUCUGAUUUUCUAUACAUUUGAAGUCCUCCUGAAAAAAAAGUACAUAUUCACAUACACACACACAAUCCCCAUCCCAGUCAGCACGAGGCGAAGGUAAACCAAACUGGAAUUGUCUGUCAGAAGGAAAGAAGUAACUUGAUGGCAUUGUGUAUAUGGAGGCAUUCUGAUAGGAGACGUGGCCACUUGCUUUCUGCCACUGAUGCCAUCAACUGAAGAAGAGCAACUUAACCAAUAUUAAAAGACUAUUUUAAAACCCUAAUCCUGAAGGCUGUUAAACACUGAGAUAAAUCACAGGAGAAGAUAGCUAAGGAAAUGCUUUCACUGAAAACAGAACGUGAAACUGAGUUAUUCAUAUUGACAGUGAAGAAGGAAAACACGAAUGCUUGUUAGUUGCCCAGAUUUACUCUGGGGCCAAACAAGGCAGUCUGAACUUGGACAGCCAUGAUGGCUAGACCGAAAGCAAGCAGGUAGAAUGUGUUGGACAGUGGUGUGUAUCCAUGCCACAGGCCUGAACCGCAUUCCUUUGUCUAUCGUUAGGACUAGCUAUUAGCAAGUCCAGCAAUUACGCUUCCCUUGUCAGCUAAAACCACAGCCCCUCUCUGCAAAGUUUCAGUGGUGACCCGCCCUCAGAAUGGCCCCCAAGGAUCCUUACCGCUGGUACUCACACCUCUGUGUAGACGCUGCCCACA
RNAcentral lists this long non-coding RNA (1354 nucleotides) under Capra hircus (goat). Its description in RNAcentral is "lncRNA (ENSCHIG00010005901.1)". Lineage: Eukaryota; Metazoa; Chordata; Mammalia; Artiodactyla; Bovidae. The record is from RNAcentral.